UAUUUUGCCCCACUUCAUAAACUUUAGCUCUUGCAUUAACAAAACAAAUUCUUCGUAUUUUCAAAGGGAAAGCAGGAUAAAUAACUGAGUCCGAAAAUGCCCCAAGAACACAGCUAUUAUACAAAUCAACAUACCUCAAAGUUCUCCAGAAGGAGUGGAAGCUUGACAGAGAGAGGCACUUCAGUGUCAAGGAAGCAGCCAGCAGCCGAGAGAAGAUGGUGA
This 222-nucleotide long non-coding RNA is filed under the name Chinchilla lanigera (long-tailed chinchilla). RNAcentral describes it as "lncRNA (ENSCLAG00000024334.1)". The record is from RNAcentral. Lineage: Eukaryota; Metazoa; Chordata; Mammalia; Rodentia; Chinchillidae.